RNAcentral lists this non-coding RNA (54 nucleotides) under unclassified sequences. RNAcentral describes it as "chromate-resist RNA". It matches the Rfam family "chrB-b RNA". The record is from RNAcentral.
CCGGGUCCCCAAGCGGCCACCCGGUCCUUGAGGACGUCCCGUCCCAAGUGCCGC